Molecule: ribosomal RNA, 700 nt
Filed under: uncultured bacterium
Lineage: Bacteria
Description: bacterial SSU rRNA
Rfam family: Bacterial small subunit ribosomal RNA
Source: RNAcentral
UCUAGCCAUGCCGCGUGAGUGACGAAGGCCUUAGGGUCGUAAAGCUCUUUCGCCAGAGAUGAUAAUGACAGUAUCUGGUAAAGAAACCCCGGCUAACUCCGUGCCAGCAGCCGCGGUAAUACGGAGGGGGUUAGCGUUGUUCGGAAUUACUGGGCGUAAAGCGUACGUAGGCGGAUUAGAAAGUAGGGGGUGAAAUCCCAGGGCUCAACCCUGGAACUGCCUCCUAAACUACUAGUCUAGAGUUCGAGAGAGGUGAGUGGAAUUCCAAGUGUAGAGGUGAAAUUCGUAGAUAUUUGGAGGAACACCAGUGGCGAAGGCGGCUCACUGGCUCGAUACUGACGCUGAGGUACGAAAGUGUGGGGAGCAAACAGGAUUAGAUACCCUGGUAGUCCACACCGUAAACGAUGAAUGCCAGACGUCGGGGGGCUUGCCCUUCGGUGUCACACCUAACGGAUUAAGCAUUCCGCCUGGGGAGUACGGUCGCAAGAUUAAAACUCAAAUGAAUUGACGGGGGCCCGCACAAGCGGUGGAGCAUGUGGUUUAAUUCGAUGCAACGCGAAGAACCUUACCUACUCUUGACAUCCAGAGAACUUUCCAGAGAUGGAUUGGUGCCUUCGGGAACUCUGAGACAGGUGCUGCAUGGCUGUCGUCAGCUCGUGUUGUGAAAUGUUGGGUUAAGUCCCGCAACGAGCGCAACCCU